GAUGAAGAACGCAGCGAAAUGCGAUACGUAAUGUGAAUUGCAAAUUCAGUGAAUCAUCGAGUCUUUGAACGCACAUUGCGCCCACUGGUAUACCGGGGGGCAUGCCUGUCCGAGCGUCAUUGCUGCCCUCAAGCACGGCUUGUGUGUUGGGCCCCGUCCUCCGAUCCCGGGGGACGGGCCCGAAAGGCAGCGGCGGCACCGCGUCCGGUCCUCGAGCGUAUGGGGCUUUGUCACCCGCUCUGUAGGCCCGGCCGGCGCUUGCCGAUCAACCCAAAUUUUUAUCCAGGUUGACCUCGGAUCAGGUAGGGAUACCCGCUGAACUUAAGCAUAUCAAUAAGCGGAGGA
Molecule: unclassified non-coding RNA, 345 nt
Filed under: soil metagenome
Description: partial contains 5.8S ribosomal RNA, internal transcribed spacer 2, and large subunit ribosomal RNA
Rfam family: 5.8S ribosomal RNA (bases 1-119)
Source: RNAcentral